RNAcentral lists this small nuclear RNA (164 nucleotides) under Aotus nancymaae (Ma's night monkey). RNAcentral's name for it is "U1 spliceosomal RNA (ENSANAG00000019300.1)". It matches the Rfam family "U1 spliceosomal RNA". From Rfam's summary of the family: U1 is a small nuclear RNA (snRNA) component of the spliceosome (involved in pre-mRNA splicing). Its 5' end forms complementary base pairs with the 5' splice junction, thus defining the 5' donor site of an intron. The record is from Rfam by way of RNAcentral. Lineage: Eukaryota; Metazoa; Chordata; Mammalia; Primates; Aotidae.
AUACUUACCUGGCAGGGGAGAUACCAUGAUCACGAAGGUGGUUUUCCCACGGCAAGGCUUAUCCAUUGCACUCCGGAUGUGCUGACCCCUGCGAUUCCCCCAAAUGUGGGAAACUCGACUGCAUAAUUUGUGGUAGUAGGGGACUGCGUUCACACUCUCCCCUG